This 514-nucleotide long non-coding RNA is filed under the name Myripristis murdjan (pinecone soldierfish). RNAcentral's name for it is "lncRNA (ENSMMDG00005021513.1)". Lineage: Eukaryota; Metazoa; Chordata; Actinopteri; Holocentriformes; Holocentridae. The record is from RNAcentral.
CAAAAUUUAUCACAUGAAUUAGAAAACACAGCUGAGAAAUUACCAUUUCAUCUGCACUUGGACUCCGUACUUCAUCUGUGCCACAUAAAAACAGAGCUGACAGAGCAGUGACCAAGAAGUCGUGUGAGAAGCAGCUACAACCAUGGUGUUAAGAAGCAAAUCAGGAGAAUACACAGUAACAAGAGGUACAAGAGGAGAGCACCAUGCAGGUGAACAUGGACGAGCUGCUACAGUGUGUCUGGGGCUGCUGUGUCUUCUCCUCCUGUCUACAGUCAUCGGCCUGGUGGCACACUAUAACAAAUCAGAUUGCAACCUGGCCAGAGAGAGAGAAGAGUUACAGACCAGUCUCAACAGCAUGAGUCAAGAGAGGACCCAGUUACAGACCAGUCUCAACAACCUAACUCAAGAGAGGAACCAGUUACAGACCAGUCUCAACAGCACGACUCAAGAGAAAAAUCAGCUGCAAAUGGAGAUUGAAAGGCUGACACUGAAUAUAAAAGGCAUGGGAAACUAA